GCGGGGAAUAUUGGACAAUGGGCGCAAGCCUGAUCCAGCCAUGCCGCGUGAGUGAUGAAGGCCCUAGGGUUGUAAAGCUCUUUCAGUGGGGACGAUAAUGACGGUACCCACAGAAGAAGCCCCGGCUAACUUCGUGCCAGCAGCCGCGGUAAUACGAAGGGGGCUAGCGUUGUUCGGAUUUACUGGGCGUAAAGCGCACGUAGGCGGAUCGUUAAGUCGAGGGUGAAAUCCUGGAGCUCAAAUCCAGAACUGCCUUCGAUACUGGCGAUCUUGAGGCCGGAAGAGGUGAGAGGAACUCCUAGUGUAGAGGUGGAAUUCGUAGAUAUUAGGAAGAACACCAGUGGCGAAGGCGGCUCACUGGUCCGGUACUGACGCUGAGGUGCGAAAGCGUGCGGAGCAAACAGGAUUAGAUACCCGUGUAGUCC
This 425-nucleotide ribosomal RNA is filed under the name uncultured bacterium. RNAcentral's name for it is "partial 16S ribosomal RNA". It matches the Rfam family "Bacterial small subunit ribosomal RNA", at positions 354 to 796 of the family's 1533-position model. The record is from RNAcentral.